AUACGAAGGGGGCAAGCGUUGUUCGGAAUAACUGGGCGUAAAGCGCACGUAGGCGGAUUGAUACGUUAGAGGUGAAAUCCCAGGGCUCAACCCUGGAACUGCCUUUAAUACUGUUAGUCUAGAGAUCGAGAGAGGUGAGUGGAAUUCCGAGUGUAGAGGUGAAAUUCGUAGAUAUUCGGAGGAACACCAGUGGCGAAGGCGGCUCACUGGCUCGAUACUGACGCUGAGGUGCGAAAGCGUGGGGAGCAAACAGGAUUAGAAACCCUAGUAGUCC
This 274-nucleotide ribosomal RNA is filed under the name uncultured bacterium. Its description in RNAcentral is "partial 16S ribosomal RNA". It matches the Rfam family "Bacterial small subunit ribosomal RNA", at positions 523 to 796 of the family's 1533-position model. The record is from RNAcentral.